GACGAACGCUGGCGGCGUGCCUAAUACAUGCAAGUUGAGCGCUGAAGGUUGGUACUUGUACCAACUGGAUGAGCAGCGAACGGGUGAGUAACGCGUGGGGAAUCUGCCUUUGAGCGGGGGACAACAUUUGGAAACGAAUGCUAAUACCGCAUAAAAACUUUAAACACAAGUUUUAAGUUUGAAAGAUGCAAUUGCAUCACUCAAAGAUGAUCCCGCGUUGUAUUAGCUAGUUGGUGAGGUAAAGGCUCACCAAGGCGAUGAUACAUAGCCGACCUGAGAGGGUGAUCGGCCACAUUGGGACUGAGACACGGCCCAAACUCCUACGGGAGGCAGCAGUGGGGAAUCUUCGGCAAUGGACGAAAGUCUGACCGAGCAACGCCGCGUGAGUGAAGAAGGUUUUCGGAUCGUAAAACUCUGUUGGUAGAGAAGAACGUUGGUGAGAGUGGAAAGCUCAUCAAGUGACGGUAACUACCCAGAAAGGGACGGCUAACUACGCG
This 497-nucleotide ribosomal RNA is filed under the name uncultured bacterium. RNAcentral describes it as "partial 16S ribosomal RNA". It matches the Rfam family "Bacterial small subunit ribosomal RNA", at positions 28 to 507 of the family's 1533-position model. The record is from RNAcentral.